RNAcentral lists this ribosomal RNA (397 nucleotides) under uncultured bacterium. RNAcentral describes it as "partial 16S ribosomal RNA". It matches the Rfam family "Bacterial small subunit ribosomal RNA", at positions 523 to 918 of the family's 1533-position model. The record is from RNAcentral.
AUACGUAGGGGGCGAGCGUUGUCCGGAAUGAUUGGGCGUAAAGGGCGCGUAGGCGGCCUGUUAAGUCUGGCGUGAAAGUCCUGUUUUUAAGAUGGGAAUUGCUUUGGAUACUGUCGGGCUUGAGUGCAGGAGAGGUAAGUGGAAUUCCCAGUGUAGCGGUGAAAUGCGUAGAGAUUGGGAGGAACACCAGCGGCGAAGGCGACUUACUGGACUGUAACUGACGCUGAGGCGCGAAAGUGUGGGGAGCAAACAGGAUUAGAUACCCUGGUAGUCCACACUGUAAACGAUGAAUGCUAGGUGUAGGGGGUAUCGACCCCUUCUGUGCCGCAGUCAACACAAUAAGCAUUCCGCCUGGGGAGUACGGCCGCAAGGUUGAAACUCAAAGGAAUCGACGGGG